CCUACGGGAGGCAGCAGUGAGGAAUAUUGGACAAUGAGCGCGAGCCUGAACCAGCCAAGUCGCGUGAGGGAGGACGGCCCUACGAGUUGUAAACCUCUUUUGACGGGGAGCAACGGGCGCCACGUGUGGCGUCACGGAGAGUACCCGGAGAGAAAGCAUCGGCUAACUCCGUGCCAGCAGCCGCUGUAAUAAGGAGGAGGCGAGCAGUAUCCGGAUUUAUUGGGUUUAAAGGGUGCGUAGGCGGAUCGUUAAGUCAGUGGUCAAAUUGAGGGGCUCAACCACGUCCCGCCAUUGAAACUGGCGAUCUUGAGUGGGAGAGAAGUAUGCGGAAUGCGUGGUGUAGCGGUGAAAUGCAUAGAGAUCAUGCAGAACACCGAUUGCGAAGGCAGCUUACCGGUGUUUAACUGACGUUGAGGCACGAAAGCGUGGGGAGCAAACAGGAUUAGAUACCCUAGUAGUC
This 460-nucleotide ribosomal RNA is filed under the name uncultured bacterium. RNAcentral's name for it is "partial 16S ribosomal RNA". It matches the Rfam family "Bacterial small subunit ribosomal RNA", at positions 338 to 795 of the family's 1533-position model. The record is from RNAcentral.